AGGGUUCGAUUCUGGCUCAGGAUGAACGCUAGCGGCAGGCUUAACACAUGCAAGUCGAGGGGCAGCGGGUCCAGCAAUGGAUGCCGGCGACCGGCGAAAGGGUGAGUAACGCGUGAGCAACAUGCCCGACACUGGGGGAUAGUCAUUGGAAACGAUGCGUAAUACCCCGUAACACAAGGGGCCGCAUGACCUUUUUGUUGAAAGAUUCAUUGGUGUCGGAUUGGCUCGCGUGCCAUUAGGUAGACGGCGGGGUAACGGCCCACCGUGCCGACGAUGGCUAGGGGUUCUGAGAGGAAGGUCCCCCACAUUGGAACUGAGACACGGUCCAGACUCCUACGGGAGGCAGCAGUGAGGAAUAUUGGACAAUGGCCGGAAGGCUGAUCCAGCCAUGCCGCGUGCGGGAUGACGGCCUAUGGGUUGUAAACCGCUUUUGCCGGGGAGCAAUAAGGCCCACGCGUGGGCCGACGAGAGUACCCGGCGAAUAAGCAUCGGCUAACUCCGUGCCAGCCGCCGC
This 514-nucleotide ribosomal RNA is filed under the name uncultured bacterium. Its description in RNAcentral is "bacterial SSU rRNA". It matches the Rfam family "Bacterial small subunit ribosomal RNA", at positions 8 to 518 of the family's 1533-position model. The record is from RNAcentral.